This 327-nucleotide ribosomal RNA is filed under the name uncultured eukaryote. RNAcentral describes it as "partial 18S ribosomal RNA". It matches the Rfam family "Eukaryotic small subunit ribosomal RNA", at positions 1470 to 1796 of the family's 1831-position model. The record is from RNAcentral.
CCCUUAGAUGUUCUGGGCCGCACGCGCGCUACACUGACGAAUGCAACGAGCUUAUAACCUUGGCCGAAAGGUCUGGGUAAUCUCCAAAUUUCGUCGUGAUGGGGAUAGAUUAUUGCAAUUAUUAAUCUUCAACGAGGAAUGCCUAGUAAGCGCAAGUCAUCAGCUUGCGUUGAUUACGUCCCUGCCCUUUGUACACACCGCCCGUCGCUCCUACCGAUUGAAUGGUCCGGUGAAGCGUUCGGACCGUGGCCUUUGGACGGUUCGCCGUCUGUUGGCUGCGGGAAGUUCGUUAAACCUUGUCAUUUAGAGGAAGGAGAAGUCGUAACA